CUUGAACUUUGACCACAAAGAAUCCCGAAACUGGUACAUUUGAUGAGGUCAGCUGUGAUCCAGUUCAUAUGUGCUCCUUUUACUCUCACCUUACGCAGCAGGGCAUGCAAAUUCCAAAUUUGUAGGAGUUCAGACAAAGAAUUCAACUGCACAGUCUAGAUCUGGGAUAAUGUUUAAUCUGUGCCAUGGGAGUUUCUUGAUGUCAUUAAGAAAGGAUUCACGAUUACAUUUUUUGAAAGACCUGGUG
This is a non-coding RNA of Pelobates cultripes (western spadefoot toad), 247 nucleotides long. The record is from the annotation of a GenBank genome assembly. NCBI's taxonomy places the organism in Eukaryota, Metazoa, Chordata, Amphibia, Anura, Pelobatidae.